This 182-nucleotide non-coding RNA is filed under the name Nitrospirota bacterium. Its description in RNAcentral is "Nitrospirae bacterium (sediment metagenome) 6S RNA". It matches the Rfam family "6S / SsrS RNA". From Rfam's summary of the family: E. coli 6S RNA was the first non coding RNA to be sequenced, but its function was unknown until recently. It consists of 184 nucleotides that fold into an extended hairpin structure with a large single-stranded internal bulge. The record is from RNAcentral. Lineage: Bacteria; Pseudomonadati; Nitrospirota.
GUCUACCUGCCUUGUGCGUGAUAGAGGAAAAAACUUGAACCGACAAUCAGUCAAGUUAGGGAGCCAGCGUAAGGCAAGUGUGAGCGCCCCAAUUCGUAGGGGGAGGCCUAAUCUUGCCUUCAAGGCACCCACCUUUAAUCAGGGUUCAAGAUUUUCUACCUACACGGCAAGGUGGGUAUUGG